This 881-nucleotide ribosomal RNA is filed under the name Stenocarpella maydis. RNAcentral describes it as "partial large subunit ribosomal RNA". It matches the Rfam family "Eukaryotic large subunit ribosomal RNA", at positions 48 to 961 of the family's 3401-position model. Lineage: Eukaryota; Fungi; Ascomycota; Sordariomycetes; Diaporthales; Diaporthaceae. The record is from RNAcentral.
UAGCAUAUCUGCAGACCAACAGGGAUUGCCCUAGUAACGGCGAGUGAAGCGGCAACAGCUCAAAUUUGAAAUCUGGCUCUCGGGCCCGAGUUGUAAUUUGUAGAGGAUGCUUUUGAUGCGGUGCCUUCCGAGUUCCCUGGAACGGGACGCCAUAGAGGGUGAGAGCCCCGUCUGGUUGGAUGCCAAAUCUCUGUAAAGCUCCUUCGACGAGUCGAGUAGUUUGGGAAUGCUGCUCUAAAUGGGAGGUAUAUGUCUUCUAAAGCUAAAUACCGGCCAGAGACCGAUAGCGCACAAGUAGAGUGAUCGAAAGAUGAAAAGCACUUUGAAAAGAGAGUUAAAAAGUACGUGAAAUUGUUGAAAGGGAAGCGUUUAUGACCAGACUUGGGCUUGGUUAAUCAUCUGGGGUUCUCCCCAGUGCACUUUUCCAGUCCAGGCCAGCAUCAGUUUUCGCCGGGGGAUAAAGGCUUCGGGAAUGUGGCUCUCUCCGGGGAGUGUUAUAGCCCGUUGCGUAAUACCCUGGCGGGGACUGAGGUUCGCGCAUCUGCAAGGAUGCUGGCGUAAUGGUCAUCAACGACCCGUCUUGAAACACGGACCAAGGAGUCGUCUUCGUAUGCGAGUGUUCGGGUGUCAAACCCCUACGCGUAAUGAAAGUGAACGCAGGUGAGAGCUUCGGCGCAUCAUCGACCGAUCCUGAUGUUCUCGGAUGGAUUUGAGUAAGAGCAUACGGGGCCGGACCCGAAAGAAGGUGAACUAUGCCUGUGUAGGGUGAAGCCAGAGGAAACUCUGGUGGAGGCUCGCAGCGGUUCUGACGUGCAAAUCGAUCGUCAAACAUGGGCAUGGGGGCGAAAGACUAAUCGAACCUUCUAGUAGCUGGUUUCCGC